GUAGCUCAGUUAGUUACAGCAUGGUGCUGAUGAUGCCAACGUCACAGGUUCGAUCCCCGUCCA
Molecule: transfer RNA, 63 nt
Filed under: Podarcis lilfordi (Lilford's wall lizard)
Lineage: Eukaryota; Metazoa; Chordata; Lepidosauria; Squamata; Lacertidae
Description: tRNA.Ile
Source: RNAcentral